Molecule: ribosomal RNA, 518 nt
Filed under: Hypocreales sp. MX65
Lineage: Eukaryota; Fungi; Ascomycota; Sordariomycetes; Hypocreales
Description: eukaryotic LSU rRNA
Rfam family: 5.8S ribosomal RNA (bases 165-318)
Source: RNAcentral
CCGAGUUUAUCAACUCCCAAACCCCUGUGAACAUACCUGAACGUUGCUUCGGCGGGACCGCCCCGGCGCCCUCAGCGGCCCGGAACCAGGCGCCCGCCGGAGGACCCAAACUCUUGCUUUAAUUAGUGGCAUUCUCUGAGUCUCACAAACAAAAAAUAAAUCAAAACUUUCAACAACGGAUCUCUUGGCUCUGGCAUCGAUGAAGAACGCAGCGAAAUGCGAUAAGUAAUGUGAAUUGCAGAAUUCAGUGAAUCAUCGAAUCUUUGAACGCACAUUGCGCCCGCCAGUAUUCUGGCGGGCAUGCCUGUUCGAGCGUCAUUUCAACCCUCAAGCCCCCAGGGGCUUGGUGUUGGGGACCGGCCCGCCCCCGCGCGGCGCCGCCCCCGAAAUGCAGUGGCGACCUCGCCGCAGCCUCCCCUGCGUAGUAGCACAACCUCGCACCGGAGCGCGGAGACGGUCACGCCGUAAAACGCCCAACUUUUUACAGAGUUGACCUCGGAUCAGGUAGGAAUACCCGC